Equus caballus (horse) is the source of this 52-nucleotide non-coding RNA. Lineage: Eukaryota; Metazoa; Chordata; Mammalia; Perissodactyla; Equidae. The record is from Rfam.
GUUUUAGUGUAAGUAUGUCUCAGGCAAUAUUUGGAACAUACUUACACUAAAA